This 432-nucleotide ribosomal RNA is filed under the name uncultured bacterium. RNAcentral's name for it is "partial 16S ribosomal RNA". It matches the Rfam family "Bacterial small subunit ribosomal RNA", at positions 29 to 507 of the family's 1533-position model. The record is from RNAcentral.
AACGAACGCUGGCGGCAUGCCUAACACAUGCAAGUCGAACGAGACCUUCGGGGCUAGCGGCGCACGGGGGCGUAACGCGGGGGAAGUUGCGCGUAGGUUCGGAAUAACUUCCCGAAAGGGGUGCUAAUACCGGAUAAGGUAUUCGGACAAAAGAUUUAUUGCUUUUGGAUGGGCGCGCGUUGGAUUAGAUAGUUGGUAGGGUAAAGGCCUGCGAAGGCGAUGAUCCAUAGCUGGUCUGGAGGAUGAUCAGCCACACUGGGACUGAGACACGGCUCGGACUCCUACGGGAGGCAGCAGUGGGGAAUAUUGGACAAUGGGCGAAAGACUGAUCCAGCAAUGCCGCGUGAGUGAUGAAGGCCUUAGGGUUGUAAAGCUCUUUUACCCGGGAUGAUAAUGACAGUACCGGGAGAAUAAGCGCCGGCUAACUCCGUG